This 274-nucleotide ribosomal RNA is filed under the name uncultured bacterium. Its description in RNAcentral is "partial 16S ribosomal RNA". It matches the Rfam family "Bacterial small subunit ribosomal RNA", at positions 523 to 796 of the family's 1533-position model. The record is from RNAcentral.
AUACGGAGGGUGCAAGCGUUACUCGGAAUCACUGGGCGUAAAGCGCGCGCAGGCGGCUUGGUAAGUUGGAUGUGAAAGCCUACGGCUCAACCGUAGAACUGCAUCCAAAACUGCCAAGCUAGAGUGUGGGAGAGGAAGAUGGAAUUAGUUGUGUAGGGGUAAAAUCCGUAGAGAUAACUAGGAAUACCAAAAGCGAAGGCAAUCUUCUGGAACACUACUGACGCUGAGGCGCGAAAGCGUGGGGAGCAAACAGGAUUAGAAACCCCAGUAGUCC